CUCACACGAUGAACAACAGUUUUCUCUCUCUCUUGGACACGGUUAUCUCAGCAUACCGAUUUUUUCUUUCUAUCUCUCUCAGACUCUCACACGCUUCAAUACCAAUUUUAUCUCUUUCUUUCUCUUUCUCACGGUUACAAUAGAGCAACGAUUAUUACUCAAAAAUCAAUUUGCUCUCCAUCCAUUUAUGCAUCAGUAUGCAGUUGUUUGCCAAUUGAAGCAUAUUUAAUAAUGGGAGAAGAAGUAUAGAUAAAGAGUACGAGCCCAGAUCUGAGAGCGACAAUAUGGAUGAUGCAUUUGGGAAUUAUUAAGAUGACAAACCACUGAGGAAGAAGAGAUCUAUCAGAGCGGCCCUUACAAUAUUUGGUCUAUUUUGCAGGUCAUUGAUAAGUUGAUAGGGGUUGUCCCAAAUUUUAAGCCAAAUGUCAACCAAUCAGUUGGUUGUUUCCAGCAAAUAAAUGAGGGGAAAGUUCGAACUCAAGAGAUGACAAGAGAUGGAGAAAUUUUGAGGCGUGAAGUUUCUCAAGAAAUUGAAAGUGUGAUGUUUAUGUCGGAAUCCCUGAUGUUGGGAGGUUAAUAAUGGACAAACUUCUGAGGCUUUUGACAUUUCCGUUGAUUCUCCCAUCAUUUAGGAAUGAAGCAAUCAAAGUACAUACUCACCAUUUCUAUUUGUUUGCCUAUUUUAUGUGUGUGUUUUAAUUUUCUACACUUCUGGAAAUUGUAACGAGCUCUUUAUAUUUGGUUAAUUAAUGGUUUUAUGGGUCUGUAUAAAUCUUUUUGUGACUAUCUGAGUCGUAUACAUUCAGGAACCAAGUUUUGGGGUUGUCUUUUCUUUAUAUUUACUUUGUUGCAUUUUGUGCAUAGUCAAAAUCAAAGAUCUGGCAAACAUUGUUGUUGCUGCUCUUCUAUGUUAUCCAGACGUUUUUCCUGAGAGUUCUGAAGCUAAGCUCAAUGGUAAUCUGUUGAGCCAUGCUUCCUUGGAUGUACCAACCCACGAUAAAGAUGCAAACAAUCAAAAUGUCAAAUCUGAUACUGAAAAUCAUCUACUGCACAGUGCCUUCAAUCAUAACUAUGGCAGCAUGAGAUUUGAUGACUUUGUCCCAUAUCUAUUUAUGCUUCUACAAGUUUUACAAGUCUUGGUUUCAUUACCAAUUCAUGUGGAUUAUAUUUUGGCUACUAGGAUUGAGAAACAUGUCUAGAAUAAUUUUUGGAAUAAUACAUGUAUUUUAGAAUAGAUGAGUAUAUAUUAUGAUGUUAUUGGGAUAUGGUUAAAAUAUGGACGUGGUUAAAAUACGAUGAAGGCUAAACUACUAUUUUCUUUAAGUUUUGAUCGUUUGCAUUGUUACCAACUAAUCUUUCUAAAAUCAAAUUAUAAAGAUAUCAAUUGUUUUACGGUUUGCAUAUUUUUUUUCUUCCAAUUGUUAUUAGUGUUGUUAUUCAUAUGAUCAAUAUGAUAUUGUGCCUCUUUUGGUAUGUUAUUCUAGAUUGGGCUGUAAAGCUAUAAUUAACAAAGUUGUGGAGCAAGAUAAAGAGGCAGAGCGAAUGCGGUAGAGCAUGAAGGACACGAAGUUGAAGAAGAGGGAAUGAAAGAGCAAUGCGAAAAAGACAAUGUGCAUUACUAGAAAAUAGUUAGAGAAUCUUCUAUGUAUUUCGUAAUUUUUAAAUCUUUGCAAGUCCACAUUUUGGACGCGUGGAAAACUGUUGACAUUUUUUCUGUAUCUCUAAUGAGAAAUAGAUUAAAUAUAAGAACAUUUGAGUAGAUUUAAUUAGUGGAAAUACUUUAAAUAUACUUUAUUCUAA
Salvia miltiorrhiza (redroot sage) is the source of this 1800-nucleotide long non-coding RNA. RefSeq lists it as uncharacterized. NCBI's taxonomy places the organism in Eukaryota, Viridiplantae, Streptophyta, Magnoliopsida, Lamiales, Lamiaceae. The record is from RefSeq and is a predicted model, not a curated record. The transcript is spliced from 4 exons.